CAGUAGCCGCGGUAAUACCAGCAGCCCAAGUGGUGGUCGCGAUUAUUGGGCCUAAAGCGCUCGUAGCCGGGCCGGUAAGUCCCUUGUGAGAUCGGACGGCCUAACCGUUCGGCGUGCAAGGGAUACUGUCGGUCUUGAGGCCGGGAGACGUCCGAGGUACUCCGGGGGUAGCGGUGAAAUGUUCUGAUCCUCGGGGGACCACCGGUGGCGAAGGCGUUCGACGAGAACGGGCCUGACGGUGAGGGGCGAAGGCUAGGGGAGCAAACGGGAUUAGAUACCCCUGUAGUCCCUGUCUCUUAUA
RNAcentral lists this ribosomal RNA (301 nucleotides) under uncultured bacterium. RNAcentral's name for it is "partial 16S ribosomal RNA". It matches the Rfam family "Archaeal small subunit ribosomal RNA", at positions 459 to 759 of the family's 1478-position model. The record is from RNAcentral.